GGCGCCGGCGCCAAACCCGAAAUGGGCAAGGCGGCGGCCGAGGAAGCCGAAGCGCGAAUCCGCGAAUCCAUUGCCGGCGCCA
This 82-nucleotide transfer RNA is filed under the name Burkholderiales bacterium. Its description in RNAcentral is "tRNA-Pro". Lineage: Bacteria; Pseudomonadati; Pseudomonadota; Betaproteobacteria; Burkholderiales. The record is from RNAcentral.